UUUAUUCUAAAUAACAUUCUUAAAUCUGCCCAUUAAGAGCACAGUAAACAUUUAACAGUUUUUGUUUUAUUAAUGAAAUUAGAUUUUUACAUACAAAAUCAGCUAAGUAAUUUUAUUUACAAAAAUAAUAAAAAACUGCUUAUUCACUGUGGAAAAAUAACCAUUUUGAUAAAAAGAAUUUAAUGAAAGUUUAAUGCAACAAAGUAAGAAUGGCUUUUUGUUUCAUUGUCUGAUACUUUGACUUAAAUGUGGAUUACUUGGUAUCUCUUGAAACCUAAGUAAUAAGAUCUUUAAACAAGCACUGAAUAAAAAAUUAGGUUGGGUGUAUUCUGGAACCUGAAUCAACACGACUAAGUGGAGUUUGUGGUCACAGAGGAUUUGUCAUUUUUCUUCUUUGCCCUUAUGAAAAUACAUUAAUAGAAAAUUACCAAUGGAAAAUAUUUUAAAAUUUGUUAUAUUCCUAUCAACUUUGACAUUGCUUAGCAAAUUUAUUAAUUUCUUUCAAUCAAUGUUAAUACUUUGUCUAGAAUUAGGGUAGAGGUAGACUGAUCUUUGUAUUCAAACAUUUUAAAACAUUGUUUUAAAUGCCAUAUAAGG
RNAcentral lists this long non-coding RNA (597 nucleotides) under Bos taurus (domestic cattle). RNAcentral describes it as "long non-coding RNA NONBTAT025504". The record is from RNAcentral. Lineage: Eukaryota; Metazoa; Chordata; Mammalia; Artiodactyla; Bovidae.